GAGCGAACAGGAUUAGAUACCCUGGUAGUCCACGCCGUAAACGGUGGAUGCUGGAUGUGGGGCCCGUUCCACGGGUUCCGUGUCGGAGCUAACGCGUUAAGCAUCCCGCCUGGGGAGUACGGCCGCAAGGCUAAAACUCAAAGAAAUUGACGGGGGCCCGCACAAGCGGCGGAGCAUGCGGAUUAAUUCGAUGCAACGCGAAGAACCUUACCUGGGCUUGACAUGUUCCCGACAGCCCCAGAGAUGGGGCUUCCCUUCGGGGCGGGUUCACAGGUGGUGCAUGGUCGUCGUCAGCUCGUGUCGUGAGAUGUUGGGUUAAGUCCCGCAACGAGCGCAACCCUCGCCCCGUGUUGCCAGCGGAUUAUGCCGGGAACUCACGGGGGACCGCCGGGGUUAACUCGGAGGAAGGUGGGGAUGACGUCAGAUCAUCAUGCCCCUUACGUCCAGGGCUUCACGCAUGCUACAAUGGCCGGUACAACGGGAUGCGACGCGGCGACGCGGAGCGGAUCCCUGAAAACCGGUCUCAGUUCGGAUCGCAGUCUGCAACUCGACUGCGUGAAGGCGGAGUCGCUAGUAAUCGCGAAUCAGCAACGUCGCGGUGAAUGCGUUCCCGGGCCUUGUACACACCGCCCGUCAAGUCAUGAAAGUGGGCAGCACCCGAAGCCGGUGGCCUAACCCCUUGUGGGAUGGAGCCGUCUAAGGUGAGGCUCGUGAUUGGGACUAAGUCGUAACAAGGUAGCCGUACCGGAAGGUGCGGCUG
RNAcentral lists this ribosomal RNA (760 nucleotides) under human gut metagenome. RNAcentral describes it as "bacterial SSU rRNA". It matches the Rfam family "Bacterial small subunit ribosomal RNA", at positions 766 to 1520 of the family's 1533-position model. The record is from RNAcentral.